GUGAAUCAUCGAAUCUUUGAACGCAAAUUGCACUCUCCUCGGAGAGUAUGCCUGUUUGAGGGUCAGCCUAUAAAAAAUCGACAUCGUUGCUGUUUCGCGGUGACGUUCGUCGGAAAUUGGGUCAUCUUAAACCCUUUGGGUUUUAAGCGUCUUAAAAUUUUUUUCGUUGUUCCAUGCACGUCUA
RNAcentral lists this unclassified non-coding RNA (184 nucleotides) under Glomus sp. RNAcentral's name for it is "partial contains 5.8S ribosomal RNA and internal transcribed spacer 2". The stretch from base 1 to 65 matches the Rfam family "5.8S ribosomal RNA", at positions 84 to 154 of the family's 154-position model. The record is from RNAcentral. Lineage: Eukaryota; Fungi; Glomeromycota; Glomeromycetes; Glomerales; Glomeraceae.